Molecule: ribosomal RNA, 312 nt
Filed under: uncultured bacterium
Lineage: Bacteria
Description: bacterial SSU rRNA
Rfam family: Bacterial small subunit ribosomal RNA
Source: RNAcentral
GUGUCAGCAGCCGCGGUAAUACAGAGGGCGCGAGCGUUGUCCGGAAUCACUGGGCGUAAAGGGCGCGUAGGUGGCCACCAUAAGGCCGCGGUGAAAGUUCGGGGCUCAACCCCGGAUCGGCCGCGGCGACUGUGGGGCUCGGGUACUGUAGAGGCAGAUGGAAUUCCGGGUGUAGCGGUGGAAUGCGUAGAGAUCCGGAAGAACACCAGUGGCGAAGGCGGUCUGCUGGGCAGUGGACUCUUGGAGUCCCUUUGACCGACACUGAGGCGCGACAGCGUGGGGAGCAAACAGGAUUAGAUACCCUGGUAGUCC